RNAcentral lists this unclassified non-coding RNA (401 nucleotides) under Hevea brasiliensis (rubber tree). Lineage: Eukaryota; Viridiplantae; Streptophyta; Magnoliopsida; Malpighiales; Euphorbiaceae. The record is from RNAcentral.
UUUGUUUGUUGAAGGUUGGUUAGUCAGGGGAAGUUGUUUUUUCCCUUAAUCUUUUCAAAAUAGGAAAUAUGGAAUUAAUAUCAAAUUUGCUUGGUAGUAUAUUCCUGGAUUUGUUGUACACUAUUUGGUAGAGGGUACGGAAAGUGAUGUUAAUGCUUAACUUUGUUUGGGAAAGGAGUGAAACAAGAAGAAAAAAGUGAUGUUAACUCUUGUUUGUGAAAAGAAAUGAGAAAAAGAGGAGAAGAUUAUUUAAGGUUUUCCCAUUGCCUUUAAUUUGCUUCAGAACUUUGAAAAUCCUUAUCCACCUAUUGGGCAAGGGAGGUAAAGUAAGUUUCGCUUUAGUGAAGUAUUUUAUUUUAUUUAAUCAAUUCUUACCUUUACUUUUUCUUUGAGAAUCCAAG